Molecule: ribosomal RNA, 847 nt
Filed under: Salmonella enterica subsp. enterica serovar Infantis
Lineage: Bacteria; Pseudomonadati; Pseudomonadota; Gammaproteobacteria; Enterobacterales; Enterobacteriaceae
Description: partial 23S ribosomal RNA
Rfam family: Bacterial large subunit ribosomal RNA
Source: RNAcentral
GGUUAAGCGACUAAGCGUACACGGUGGAUGCCCUGGCAGUCAGAGGCGAUGAAGGACGUGCUAAUCUGCGAUAAGCGCCGGUAAGGUGAUAUGAACCGUUAUAACCGGCGAUUUCCGAAUGGGGAAACCCAGUGUGACUCGUCACACUAUCAUUAACUGAAUCCAUAGGUUAAUGAGGCGAACCGGGGGAACUGAAACAUCUAAGUACCCCGAGGAAAAGAAAUCAACCGAGAUUCCCCCAGUAGCGGCGAGCGAACGGGGAGGAGCCCAGAGCCUGAAUCAGCAUGUGUGUUAGUGGAAGCGUCUGGAAAGGCGCGCGAUACAGGGUGACAGCCCCGUACACAAAAGCGCAUGUGCUGUGAGCUCGAUGAGUAGGGCGGGACACGUGGUAUCCUGUCUGAAUAUGGGGGGACCAUCCUCCAAGGCUAAAUACUCCUGACUGACCGAUAGUGAACCAGUACCGUGAGGGAAAGGCGAAAAGAACCCCGGCGAGGGGAGUGAAAAAGAACCUGAAACCGUGUACGUACAAGCAGUGGGAGCCCCACCACCAAAGCAUUCUCUGGUGUUGAAGGCCCUGCAAAGCAGCAUCGCGGUGGCGGAGCGUCGUUUGCGACGCCCAACACACAAAACAAGCGGUGAGUGCUUUGGGGUGGGGUGACUGCGUACCUUUUGUAUAAUGGGUCAGCGACUUAUAUUCUGUAGCAAGGUUAACCGAAUAGGGGAGCCGGAGGGAAACCGAGUCUUAAUUGGGCGUUAAGUUGCAGGGUAUAGACCCGAAACCCGGUGAUCUAGCCAUGGGCAGGUUGAAGGUUGGGUAACACUAACUGGAGGACCGAACCGACUAAUG